RNAcentral lists this ribosomal RNA (545 nucleotides) under Staphylococcus aureus. Its description in RNAcentral is "partial 23S ribosomal RNA". It matches the Rfam family "Bacterial large subunit ribosomal RNA", at positions 623 to 1167 of the family's 2925-position model. The record is from RNAcentral. Lineage: Bacteria; Bacillati; Bacillota; Bacilli; Caryophanales; Staphylococcaceae.
GCGAGUUACGAUUUGAUGCAAGGUUAAGCAGUAAAUGUGGAGCCGUAGCGAAAGCGAGUCUGAAUAGGGCGUUUAGUAUUUGGUCGUAGACCCGAAACCAGGUGAUCUACCCUUGGUCAGGUUGAAGUUCAGGUAACACUGAAUGGAGGACCGAACCGACUUACGUUGAAAAGUGAGCGGAUGAACUGAGGGUAGCGGAGAAAUUCCAAUCGAACCUGGAGAUAGCUGGUUCUCUCCGAAAUAGCUUUAGGGCUAGCCUCAAGUGAUGAUUAUUGGAGGUAGAGCACUGUUUGGACGAGGGGCCCCUCUCGGGUUACCGAAUUCAGACAAACUCCGAAUGCCAAUUAAUUUAACUUGGGAGUCAGAACAUGGGUGAUAAGGUCCGUGUUCGAAAGGGAAACAGCCCAGACCACCAGCUAAGGUCCCAAAAUAUAUGUUAAGUGGAAAAGGAUGUGGCGUUGCCCAGACAACUAGGAUGUUGGCUUAGAAGCAGCCAUCAUUUAAAGAGUGCGUAAUAGCUCACUAGUCGAGUGACACUGCGCCGA